Molecule: ribosomal RNA, 253 nt
Filed under: uncultured bacterium
Lineage: Bacteria
Description: partial 16S ribosomal RNA
Rfam family: Bacterial small subunit ribosomal RNA
Source: RNAcentral
UACGGAGGGUGCAAGCGUUAAUCGGAAUUACUGGGCGUAAAGCGUGCGCAGGCGGCGCGUUAAGACAGGUGUGAAAGCCCCGAGCUUAACUUGGGAAUUGCGCUUGUGACUGGCGUGCUGGAGUGUGGCAGAGGGAGGUGGAAUUCCACGUGUAGCAGUGAAAUGCGUAGAGAUGUGGAGGAACACCGAUGGCGAAGGCAGCCUCCUGGGCCAGCACUGACGCUCAUGCACGAAAGCGUGGGGAGCAAACAGG